Molecule: ribosomal RNA, 1164 nt
Filed under: uncultured Bacillus sp.
Lineage: Bacteria; Bacillati; Bacillota; Bacilli; Caryophanales; Bacillaceae
Description: bacterial SSU rRNA
Rfam family: Bacterial small subunit ribosomal RNA
Source: RNAcentral
CACUUACAGAUGGACCCGCGGCGCAUUAGCUAGUUGGUGAGGUAACGGCUCACCAAGGCGACGAUGCGUAGCCGACCUGAGAGGGUGAUCGGCCACACUGGGACUGAGACACGGCCCAGACUCCUACGGGAGGCAGCAGUAGGGAAUCUUCCGCAAUGGACGAAAGUCUGACGGAGCAACGCCGCGUGAGUGAUGAAGGUUUUCGGAUCGUAAAGCUCUGUUGUUAGGGAAGAACAAGUGCAAGAGUAACUGCUUGCACCUUGACGGUACCUAACCAGAAAGCCACGGCUAACUACGUGCCAGCAGCCGCGGUAAUACGUAGGUGGCAAGCGUUGUCCGGAAUUAUUGGGCGUAAAGGGCUCGCAGGCGGUUUCUUAAGUCUGAUGUGAAAGCCCCCGGCUCAAGCGGGGAGGGUCAUUGGAAACUGGGAAACUUGCCCUGCAGAAGAGGAGAGUGGAAUUCCACGUGUAGCGGUGAAAUGCGUAGAGAUGUGGAGGAACACCAGUGGCGAAGGCCACUCUCUGGUCUGUAACUGACGCUGAGGAGCGAAAGCGUGGGGAGCGAACAGGAUUAGAUACCCUGGUAGUCCACGCCGUAAACGAUGAGUGCUAAGUGUUAGGGGGUUUCCGCCCCUUAGUGCUGCAGCUAACGCAUUAAGCACUCCGCCUGGGAAGUAUGGUCGCAAGACUGAAACUCAAAGGAAUUGACGGGGGCCCGCACAAGCGGUGGAGCAUGUGGUUUAAUUCGAAGCAACGCGAAGAACCUUACCAGGUCUUGACAUCCUCUGACAACCCUAGAGAUAGGGCUUUCCCUUCGGGGACAGAGUGACAGGUGGUGCAUGGUUGUCGUCAGCUCGUGUCGUGAGAUGUUGGGUUAAGUCCCGCAACGAGCGCAACCCUUGAUCUUAGUUGCCAGCAUUCAGUUGGGCACUCUAAGGUGACUGCCGGUGACAAACCGGAGGAAGGUGGGGAUGACGUCAAAUCAUCAUGCCCCUUAUGACCUGGGCUACACACGUGCUACAAUGGACAGAACAAAGGGCUGCGAGACCGCAAGGUUUAGCCAAUCCCACAAAUCUGUUCUCAGUUCGGAUCGCAGUCUGCAACUCGACUGCGUGAAGCUGGAAAUCGCUAGUAAUCGCGGAUCAGCAUGCCGCGGUGAAAUACG